UACGUAGGGUGCAAGCGUUAAUCGGAGUUACUGGGCGUAAAGGGCGCGUAGGCGGUCAUGCAAGUGAGAUGUGAAAUCCCCGGGCUUAACCUGGGAACUGCAUUUUAGACUGUGUGACUGGAGUACUGUAGAGGACAGUGGAAUUUCCGGUGUAGCGGUGAAAUGCGUAGAGAUCGGAAGGAACACCAGUGGCGAAGGCGGCUCUCUGGGACGGUACUGACGCUGAGACGCGAAAGCGUGGGGAGCGAACAGG
Molecule: ribosomal RNA, 253 nt
Filed under: uncultured bacterium
Lineage: Bacteria
Description: partial 16S ribosomal RNA
Rfam family: Bacterial small subunit ribosomal RNA
Source: RNAcentral